ACCCAGCAACAACCGAGCGAGCAAGCCAUGGCGGCGCUGCGCUUAGGUCUGGACGCGGCGUCGCAGCCAUGUUGCGUCCUGGCUCGCGGUGCCUUGCCGGAGAUGCGGGGUGUUGUGGGCUCCGUGGCCACCACUUGGGCUCCCCACGGAGGCCGUCGAUGGCGGUCGUGGCCCCACCCCACUCCCUCACUGCCGCAAGGCGGCGGCGGCCACCAGCCAGGCAACUGCGGGGUCAUCCCCAACUCAGCUGGACUCCAGACAGCGGCACCGCGCAAGUGCGCGACGCCAACGCAACUACCGGAGCCGGCUAGCUGCUGACGUGCGGGUGCGGAAGUGCGAGCCUGUGAGGCCUAGGCUGGUCGGUCGUCUCCACAUCGAGGGCCACGUGCUGACGAAGAGAGGUGAUUGUUGAGAAGGCUGAGAGUUAAUUAUCAACUUCUCUAAGUUACCAUAACUGCUAUACUUUUUUACAAUGACUAUCCUCAUCUUUAAUUGUUUAUGGAAGCUGAACUGAGCAUUAUGAAUCUGUAUGCUGAUUCCUAAUGAUAUAUAUCAAGAAGGCGUAAUUGUGAGAGAGACAUGAUGGUUUGAGUGCAACUUGGAGUAGCAAGCGAGCUCAUAUGCAUUGGUGAAGGAUCUUUUUAUGUUUGUGUUAAGUAGAUCAAGUCUUGUUAGAUUGAUUCAAUAGUUUUCAACUGAGUUGAUUGUAACUUGCUAUUGGAAUAUCUAUGAAUAU
Molecule: long non-coding RNA, 736 nt
Organism: Panicum virgatum (switchgrass)
Lineage: Eukaryota; Viridiplantae; Streptophyta; Magnoliopsida; Poales; Poaceae
Exons: 4
Source: RefSeq, a predicted model, not a curated record